AACUAACGCUGGCGGCGUGCCUAACACAUGCAAGUCGUACGAGAAAGUUGGCUUCGGCCGAUGAGUACAGUGGCGCACGGGUGAGUAACGCGUGGAUAAUCUGCCCUUAAGUGUGGAAUAACGUACCGAAAGGUGCGCUAAUACCGCAUAAUGCCUGGCAACAUAAGUUGUCCGGCCAAAGAAGGCCUCUGCUUGCAAGCUUUUGCUGAAGGAUGAGUCCGCGUACCAUUAGCUAGUUGGUGGGGUAAUGGCCUACCAAGGUUAUGAUGGUUAGCUGGUCUGAGAGGAUGAUCAGCCACACUGGAACUGAAACACGGUCCAGACUCCUACGGGAGGCAGCAGUGAGGAAUAUUGCGCAAUGGGGGCAACCCUGACGCAGCAACGCCGCGUGAGGGAUGAAGGUUUUCGGAUCGUAAACCUCUGUUGUACGGGAAGAAGGAUGUGACGGUACCGUACGAGAAAGCCCCGGCAAACUACGUG
Molecule: ribosomal RNA, 480 nt
Filed under: uncultured bacterium
Lineage: Bacteria
Description: bacterial SSU rRNA
Rfam family: Bacterial small subunit ribosomal RNA
Source: RNAcentral